AAUUAACGAGCGACAAAAGAACAACAUAUGAGAUUGCGUUUAAUCAGUUUAUCAUGUUUUCUUUUUGAUAUCCAGCAUACAAAUUUCGGCAUUUAAUCAAUAUUUUGACGAAUGAAAUUGGAUCGGACAAGAAUAAUUCGAUGUAGAAAAAUGACUAUUACGACCAGAAUAUUAAUACGUAUGCAUAUUGUUAUGUUUGUCAUAUUUGACAUUUCAUCUUAAUGUAUGUGAAUAAAUUAUUUAUAUGAGAUCAUACUUUGAAUUAAAAAAGCUGAAGAUGUUUGAGUCUAUCAAUAACAUUAACAUCACACAAUAACGGAGGUGCUGCAAUUGCGUCGCCACUACUCCAACUGAAAAAUUAUUCUGUCGAGAAUAUUAAGAAGAAAUAUAUACAUAUUAAUGCUGACAAAUCCGCUCAACUGUUCGACAUUAGAAAAAACGAUGACAUAGAGCCGAUAGAGAGCCGACAUAGAGACGAUGACAUAAAACGAACGAGACAGACAGGCAUUGAUGAAAAUAACAAGAGCUUGAGGUUUCGAUAAAACAAGCUCUCUGAAGGACAAGUCAGGCGAUCGAUCGUAAAACGAAAUGUCAUGAUUCGGUAGACACUAUAGACACUUGUAGGCACUGACGCACACGGAUCCUAAUCAACCAAUUUUUACCGAACGACUUGAGACCAAAUAAGAAAAUUGAAAUAGUAUGGAUAACAACAAAGGCAAUAAAAGCAAAAAAAAUAAUAGCUGUUCUAAGAAGCAGAAAAGUUGGGAAACUCAACGUUUACAACCGUUAAAAAAAAAGAUUUCACCGAUCGAUGAAAUAUUGAAGAAAAUUCAACCUUCAUUAGCCUGGAGAGAACGGGCUGAUCAACAUUUUGCUGCCAUCGCCAGAGCUGAGAGAGAGCGGAUUAAUAAACAUUUUGCUUCCGUCACGUCUAUCAAAGAUAAGAAGAAGACUGAACGUUUACAACCGUUAAAAAAGAUUUCGCUGGACAAUAUAUUAAAAAAAAUUCAACCUUCAUUAGCUGAGAGAGAAUGGGCUAAUCAACAUUUUGCUGCAAUUGCCAGAGCUGAAAAAGAACGAAAGAACUAAUCAUCAUUUUGCUUCCAUCACGUCUAUCAAGAUAAGAAGAACUUAAAUAAAAAUAAAUAAAUAAGAAAAAGAGAUAUUUUGAAGAUCAAAAUAAGAAAAUCAAUUCAAAUUAAUGGUAUUAAUAAGAACGAUGACGACGACGUGUGCAUGGUGUAUGUAUAACAAAAGAGUUAAAAGAAAUGUAAAAAGAAGAAGAGAAAACGCAAACAGAAUAAAAUUUAAAAAAAGAAUGAAAGGAAACA
RNA transcript from Wasmannia auropunctata (little fire ant), 1331 nucleotides. RefSeq lists it as uncharacterized. The transcript has 9 exons. The record is from RefSeq and is a predicted model, not a curated record. Lineage: Eukaryota; Metazoa; Arthropoda; Insecta; Hymenoptera; Formicidae.